AAAAGGUAACACAGAGCAGCACAUCAGCAUGUAUUUUUUCUCGACAUGGUAAUUUAUCUUGAUAGGCAUUUCGCAUCGGAAGGCUUUUCAAAGCUGCAUGCUUUUUUCUUUUUUCUUUUUUGGCUUCGUUUGACUGAGGAGCCCAUGAAUCUUGAAAGGGUGCUGCUAUGACAUCUUUCAUCAAAAAACUGACAUGGACAUCUGAUGGUCUGAGUCUUUUUCUGUGUAUGCUUCACCUUCAUCUUCUGGAGGUCAGUUUGAUAGCGCCAAUGUUCUUGGAAAGGAAAUGGAACCUCCUUGGAUGUUGCAACAUAUAGUAACUAUCUAGGGGCAGUUCCAGUCAGUGGUAGUGGAGAUGAGAGGUCUGCGUGGACACCUGUACUCUGUGAAAUGUUCAAGGCUCUCUGCUCUCCCCAUUUCUCCUAACAUCUGCAUGAAACCGCUGGGUCAGCAUGGGGCCAAGUAUCAUCAGUAUGCUGAUGAGAUCCCAUUGUGUAUUGUAAUGCUGUAUCAAACAUUAUGUUGUCCAACUGAAAUCUCAUAUUUUUCCACCCCUUUCCCCAAAUAUAUGUUACAAAAUAAUAUCAUUUGCUGUUGUUUUAUCUAACAACCGGUUCUGAUAUUCAUUCUCCAUUUUAGUUCCCUCUAAAUAAUGAAAGAAAUUAGUUUAGAGACAGAAUCUGCCAUUGCAACUCGGCCCUGUCAGAAACAAGACGGGAAAUCCCCAUAUUGGGAGCUGCCUCGUGUGUGCUCUUUUGCACUCUUGCAGUUCUGUGCCGCUAAACUUAUAAUUAACACGAGGAAUAUCACCUGAAGCUAAGUUUUUUUAAAAAAAAAAAAAGAAAGGAAAGGAAAAGGGCAAAACUAGCUGCCCUACUGGAAAGAUUUUUAAAUUCAAAUUGAGAGUCUGGGGAGAUUUUUCAAUCAUCCAAGUCAUGAUUGUCACAAAGAUGCUUUUUUCAAAAGGCAACUGAACUUUUUUUUUCUUUGAAAAUGUUUCACUUCUCAUCCAAGAAGCUUUCUUCAGUUCUUUUCCUUUCCUUUCCUUACAGUUUCCCUUAGGAAAUAGCACUUUGGGGAUAUUCAAUUUGAGGACAGUAAUUCAUGAUUAUCAAAAAGUUGGUAUGGGAGAUAACCGCAUACUGAGUCAUUUCUAUAACCAGAGCCGACUCCUCUAUGUCCUUCAUCCUGUUAAUAUUUGUAUACAUCUUUCCUCUGGGAAACCAAGCAGGGCUUACACUGAGGUAGGUUGAGCGGAUAG
This is a non-coding RNA of Pantherophis guttatus, 1261 nucleotides long. NCBI's taxonomy places the organism in Eukaryota, Metazoa, Chordata, Lepidosauria, Squamata, Colubridae. The record is from RefSeq and is a predicted model, not a curated record.